Long non-coding RNA from Daphnia carinata, 347 nucleotides. RefSeq lists it as uncharacterized. The transcript is spliced from 3 exons. Lineage: Eukaryota; Metazoa; Arthropoda; Branchiopoda; Diplostraca; Daphniidae. The record is from RefSeq and is a predicted model, not a curated record.
CUCUGGGGUCGAAGAGGACACUGGACAACGAGGAUCGCCGUCGCAGCCACUAGAGUAUCGCCCAGGAUUCUGAAGAGGGCCACAUCACCACCGAAGAGGACCGUUGGACAACGAGGGUCACCGUCAGAAUCCUAGCCCAAAAUUGCAAGGAGGGCUGGCAACACCACCGAAGAGGAUUAAUGUACACCGGGGUCUCCGAAGUCGCCAAGGCUUGCCAGGUAUAACGUACACAAUUUUAAGUGUCUAAUCGAGUUUUUUUUGUUUUUUUUUAAUGUAUUUUGGAUAGGCCACAUCACCACCUUAGAGGGUCACUGGACAACGAGAUUCGCCGUCGGAGCUACUAUGAU